GCUCAUUCAUUGUAAAUAAAUUUGAUAGUAGGAAAAUAUAAAAGAGAAGAAAUAGAAAAUGAAGAACAAUAAUAGAAGGGAAAAACCUCCCUCAGCCCCGCGGCCUGCCUCGCGCGCGGCCCAGCUCCCGCUGCGGGCUUACCCCCCGCGCCCAGCCACCUCCCCGCGGCCCACCUAGCACACACGACUCAUUUCCCCAAACCCUAGCGCCUCAGCACGCCUCCUACAGCAGCCGCAGCCGCGUCCAGCCGCCGGGAGCGCCCGCGCGCCAGAGCCACGCCCAGGGCAAGUCUUCUUCUCCAGACUCCAACCGUCCGAGUUCCCUUGCCCACGUCGCCCCAAAACAGGAAUUGGCACUCCCGUUGCCUCGUCCCUCGCGUCCAGCUCCGCCAGAACCACCCACAACCGCGCCUCGCCCGUUCUCGCCCAGCUCCGGCCGCCCGCGCUGCGCAUCAACAUGCAGGGAGCCGUGCCACGCUGCUCCUCGUCGUGCCGCGCUGCAUCCUCGUGGCUGCCUUGGCUGGGCGAGCAUGCCCCUGCAGCCCCAUCCCCGCGCUCCUCCUCAGUGCGCAGCGCGGCACCCCCGGCCGUGUCCUGGCCUCCCUUGCCGAGUUGUGUUGCCGCUGUAGCCUUUUCAUCUUCUCCCUGCAAGCCUGAGCGCGCCACUGCGCUGGCCGACGAUUCGCCCAACAUCGGCCCCUCCCCAGGCGCAGUCUCCUGCACCGGUGAGCACCCUAGCGACCACGUCUCGUCUCGCUCCUCCCUGCUCCCUGCAACGCAGACCGCGUGGAGCACUGGAGCCCCCAGCCCCCACGCGUGCGUGUAUUCUUGCCCAGCCAGCCAUCUCUCCAAGCACCGUGAACAGAGGAGAGAGAGAAAAACAACCGCUCAUGUGAGGUGUUGAGGAAGAUGGAACCAAGUGUCUCAUUGGUCUGCAAGACCUUCUGUGGCCAUGUACUCUAUAGUCCUCUGCGUGGCCCCGACGCAACAGCAAUCUUGCCGUUCUCAUGCCUCGCCGUUGACUAGUCUGGUCGUCCGCUGUCGUUGCGAGAGUGCGAUCCAUUUUUGAGCUUCGAUGAAUCGACGGUCAAGCUUCGGCGACCAAAUGACCCAGUUCUUCGAGUUCUACAAAGUUGAAGACCCUGAGCAUCUGUUUGGUGAAGUCAAGUGUCCUCUGACCCUAUUAUGUCACAUUUACUUUAUAAUUCAUCAACUCGCAUACCAUGAUCAACCUAAGGAUUGACUAGCUUUUUAUUUACCUUGUCCUUGGUUACCUUUUGGGUUACUAUGGUUAGCUUCAUGCUAGCGCUUUACUUUAAUCAAUGAACAUGAUGAGAUACAAUGAUGGUACUAUGAUUUUAUUCUGGAUAUGAUGAUAUACUUGUGACAUUUAAGGGGACUCGAGCUGUUUCUCGAGUGCCUCUCCGUAAGGACCUGUUCGUUGGAUGACCGCCCGGGAAAACAGUGCAACCAUGAGGGUGGAGUGGGACGCCUUUAGCUGAGUAAUUAGAGGAACUGGGGUGUAGUUCGCUUUGCCGUUGUGCCGUUAAUGGGGCUCGGUGUAUGCGGCUCGCUCUGCUAAGGUUGGUUCGCCCCUUGGGGAGGAGUGCGGUGCAUUUAGGAAACCUAACGGGCGGCUAUAGCCCCUGGAAAUCUUUGUAAAGGCUAUGUAGUGAGACCCUGCCUAUUCACCUUGGUAGUGUUUAAGGGUUUGAUCGGCCCGAGGCAAGAGGGAAUCACGGCUUGUGGGUAAAGUGCGCAACCUCUGCAAAGUGUUAUGAAACUGAUAUAUCAGCCGUGCUCGCGGUUAUGAGCGGCCAAGGGAGCUCCAUUGAUUAGAGAUACUUGAUCAGAUAUGUUCGGAUUUCAGGUGGCAAUGAGGUUGAUGGUUCUUGGUAUUGACUCUGGUAAUGGUAAGUGGUACUCUUUCCGUUUGGAAAGGAGUACGUUUGGGUUAAUAACGUGGGUUAAAUCUAAAACUUGGCUUUCUCUACUAGUAAUAAUAAUCUGACCAACUAAAAGCAACUGCUUGACUUACCCCCACAUAAAGCUAGUCCACUAUAGCCAAACAGGAUACUUGCUGAGUAUGUUGAUGUGUACUCACCCUUGCUCUACACACCAAACCGCCCCCCAUCCCCAGGUUGUCAGCAUUGCAACCACUGCUCAGGAGAAGAUGAAGCCGUGGAAGGAGACUUCCAGGAGUUCCAAGAUUACGACGAGUUCUAGGCGUGGGUUAGCGGUAACCCCCAGUCGGCUGCCUGUGAAGGCCGUGUGUAUCUACGUUUCGUUUUCGCACUUUGAUUAUUGUAAAGACUAUGUGGAUGUCUCAGACAUAUGAUGUAAUCGACUAUUAUUCCUCUUUU
Molecule: long non-coding RNA, 2363 nt
Organism: Zea mays
Lineage: Eukaryota; Viridiplantae; Streptophyta; Magnoliopsida; Poales; Poaceae
Exons: 3
Source: RefSeq, a predicted model, not a curated record